RNAcentral lists this microRNA precursor (89 nucleotides) under Glycine max (soybean). Its description in RNAcentral is "miR403a stem-loop (gma-MIR403a)". Its record names the gene gma-MIR403a. The record is from miRBase by way of RNAcentral. Lineage: Eukaryota; Viridiplantae; Streptophyta; Magnoliopsida; Fabales; Fabaceae.
AAAUUGCAGGUUCGUGCGUGAAUCUAACGAAAGUUUCUCGUUCUCUCCAUUCCACUUCUGCGUUAGAUUCACGCACAAACUUGUCAUUU